Molecule: ribosomal RNA, 379 nt
Filed under: uncultured eukaryote
Lineage: Eukaryota
Description: partial 18S ribosomal RNA
Rfam family: Eukaryotic small subunit ribosomal RNA
Source: RNAcentral
CAAUAGCGUAUAUUAAAGUUGUUGCGGUUAAAAAGUUCGUAGUUGGAUUUCUGCCAAGGACGACCGGUCCGCCCUCUGGGUGAGUAUCUGGCUUGGCCUGGGCAUCUUCUUGGAGAACGUUGCUGCACUUCACUGUGUGGCGCGGUACCCAGGACCUUUACUUUGAGGAAAUUAGAGUGUUUCAAGCAGGCUUUCGCCUUGAAUACAUUAGCAUGGAAUAAUAAGAUAGGACCUCGGUUCUAUUUUGUUGGUUUCUAGAGCUGGGGUAAUGAUUAAUAGGGAUAGUUGGGGGCAUUCGUAUUUAACUGUCAGAGGUGAAAUUCUUGGAUUUGUUAAAGACGGACUACUGCGAANGNAUUUGCNAAGGAUGUUUNCAUUG